GGGCCUGUAGGGUAGCUUGGUCCAUCCUUUUAGCUUUGGGAGCUAGAGACUCCGAUUCAAAUUCGGACAGGCCCAC
This 76-nucleotide transfer RNA is filed under the name uncultured archaeon. RNAcentral's name for it is "tRNA-Pro(tgg)". It matches the Rfam family "tRNA". Rfam says of the family: Transfer RNA (tRNA) molecules are approximately 80 nucleotides in length. Their secondary structure includes four short double-helical elements and three loops (D, anti-codon, and T loops). The record is from RNAcentral.